UAAUAAGUGUUUUAUGGCACUUUUUAAAUCCAUAUCCACCUUGUGUGCAAUGUCAGUCGAUCUUCUUCAUGGAGAUCGACCAAACAUCAACCUUUAUCUUUUAACUCUUUGUCUGAAAAAUAUUAUGAAUAGAACAAUUCAAAAUA
Molecule: unclassified non-coding RNA, 146 nt
Filed under: soil metagenome
Description: partial internal transcribed spacer 1
Source: RNAcentral